GAGCGAGGUCGAUUUGUGGACUGCUUUUCUGGAAGAUGCCAUCAGGAGAAGGCAUGGAGUUGUAUGUCUAAAACAGAUGAUUUCCUCAACCCUGCACCCAAGAUGUCACAUUUAGCAGCGGAUUGUGAAAUGCUUGAGAACGGGAAUUAUAGGAGCAUUAUUUAAUGCUAAGUGUUAUCCACAUCGUAUCUGAAGCCUGAACAUGCCAGGAAAACAUCCUUCACACACUGCAAAUAAUCUAUCCGAGCAUUCAGGAUCAAUCAUGAAUUGGCUGGAUUAAAAGCACUGGGAGUGAAGUCAAGUUGAGGAAGAACCUCCUUGGGUGGGCAGAACAAAGUCGCAGUGCCCGUGGGAAGGCAGUGCCGAGUGAUGAGGAGCUGUGCCAGGGCUGGAGAAAGCUUGAGUCCUGCUGCAUCCCGAACGAAGCAGAGAUGAUGGGCUUGUGUGGCUUCAAGCAUAAGAAUCACAAUGUCUGGAUUAUUCAAACAAAUUCUGGAGCAGUCUUCUGACUUUUAAAUGCUUCCUGGAAUGACUUUGUGAAAAAUGAGCAGCCAAG
Molecule: long non-coding RNA, 556 nt
Organism: Tympanuchus pallidicinctus (lesser prairie-chicken)
Lineage: Eukaryota; Metazoa; Chordata; Aves; Galliformes; Phasianidae
Exons: 4
Source: RefSeq, a predicted model, not a curated record